CCCUUAGAUGUCCUGGGCCGCACGCGCGCUACACUGAGUGUCUGAGAUACGAGUCUGCCUGGUCCGGCAAGGUCUAGGUAAUCGCUAAAAGACACAUCAUGCUUGGGAUAGAUUAUUGCAAAUAUUAAUCUUGAACGAGGAAUUCCUAGUAAGCGCAAGUCAACAGCUUGCGUUGAUUACGUCCCUGCCCUUUGUACACACCGCCCGUCGCUACUACUGAUUGGGUGUUCAAGUGAGAUGCUUAGACCCUUGUUGCAUGGUUCAUUAUUGUGCUCCGAAAGGAAAAAGUUUCAAGCUUGAGUGUCUAGAGGAAGUAAAAGUCGUAACA
Molecule: ribosomal RNA, 328 nt
Filed under: uncultured eukaryote
Lineage: Eukaryota
Description: partial 18S ribosomal RNA
Rfam family: Eukaryotic small subunit ribosomal RNA
Source: RNAcentral